This 303-nucleotide ribosomal RNA is filed under the name uncultured bacterium. Its description in RNAcentral is "partial 16S ribosomal RNA". It matches the Rfam family "Bacterial small subunit ribosomal RNA", at positions 507 to 807 of the family's 1533-position model. The record is from RNAcentral.
AGCAGUAGCCGCGGUAAAACAGAGGGUGCAAGCGUUAAUCGGAAUUACUGGGCGUAAAGCGCGCGUAGGUGGUUUGUUAAGUUGGAUGUGAAAUCCCCGGGCUCAACCUGGGAACUGCAUCCAAAACUGGCAAGCUAGAGUAUGGUAGAGGGUGGUGGAAUUUCCUGUGUAGCGGUGAAAUGCGUAGAUAUAGGAAGGAACACCAGUGGCGAAGGCGACCACCUGGACUGAUACUGACACUGAGGUGCGAAAGCGUGGGGAGCAAACAGGAUUAGAUACCCCCGUAGUCCCUGUCUCUUAUAC